Molecule: long non-coding RNA, 358 nt
Organism: Lutra lutra (Eurasian river otter)
Lineage: Eukaryota; Metazoa; Chordata; Mammalia; Carnivora; Mustelidae
Exons: 2
Source: RefSeq, a predicted model, not a curated record
CAUACAUCCUGGAAGGCAGGAAAUGUACCAAGACCGAUGACUUCAGUGCCUGGCAUGUGUUUGAGAAAUGCGCAAGCAAAUGAAUUGAUCACAGAAGAGCAAUUUGGAAAAGGGCAAGGGGACCGGCCCAUCACUCAAGGCCUCCUGCACCACCGUCGCUAGGCUUCCAAGGAGAUCUGUUUACAGAGGCAGAGAACAUUCUUUCUGUGCAGAGAAAGCUCAGCUUCCGGAGGCGGGGUGCAGCUCUUACCUCCAGCGCCCAAUGAGAGCGGCCAGACCUGGGUUCCUGUGAGUGUCCUUGGACCCACAACUGUUCCUCAAAAGUUAACAUUUUUGGAAAUAAAUAAAAUAGAAGUUU